CCGAGCCUGAUAACGAGGCGGAAACAAGCACUCUAAUCUAUGCUUAAGUGUUCCAGCAGGGGGCUUACAAGCACAAUGCGCAGCUGCAGGUUUCCUCUCCUAAUCUGAGGAUCUGGCCUCCCCUCGCACCCCUUGAAUCGGGGACGUUUUUCAAACUUGGCCCCAAGCUCACGUAUUCCUUUCUAUACCUUUCUAUACCUGAACUAUAGCCGGCAGUGGGCUAAACAGAAGCAAGCCCUUUCCUAAACCCACAGAAAAAAGCACUUUGCUCUGGGAGCAGCCCCACCCCUACGCUCGAAGGAUUAGAGGCUGGAACAGAAGGCAUCCCCUCCCUAGAUUAGCAUUAGGACCUAACCUCCUGAGAAUCUAGAAACCUCUAGUUACGGAUGGACCAGUUAGGACGUGGUGACGUCCACGCAAUCCCCACACCCCACCCCUUCUGCUCUCUGUUAGAAGCGCGAACAGCAAGCGGGUUUGGGUCAAGAGGUAACCCGGGCCUGGUUUGGAACAUGUGGUUCUCCUCUUCUUCAGCACCCGGCAUGCUGGGAUUACAAACAUGAGCCCUGUGUGGCUUUGUAUCUGCGUUGUUUGUUUGCUGGUUUGUUUUUAUGAGAGUUUUCUCCCCGCACUUCUUUCUUGCUAUUUUCAGUUGUUAGUUCCCUGAAAGCACAAUUCUCUCUUCUCUUUUUGUUCUGCCAACUCUGAUCCUAGACCCUCUGGGUGGCUACAGGGAACCAGGCAAAGGUGGUUUUGGUUGCCAGUGUUACCAAAACAAAACUCCACCCGGCUGCUCUGUGGCUACCUGACCUAUACCCUGUGUGACUCCACAUGGCCUUGACUUUCCCUGCUUGCCUAGCUGUUUCCCUCAGGUGAGGGAAGGGAUCUGCUUAAAUUGAUUCUAGUAAAUCCUAAACCUCUUUCAACUUUAAUUACCACCUUGAAGACCUUGUCUUCAGAUACAGCAAUAGUGGAAACUGAGGCUUCACAGUAGUAGAGAAAGCAUUAUCGGGAGAAAUCAUUUUGUCCCAACUAGGCCACCAUAGGCUGCCUGCUGUCUCUGAGGAGAGCACCUUAGGGAAGACUUAGGUUUCCUGACAGCGCUCCUACUAAGAGCUGGGGACCGAACCCAGG
Molecule: small RNA, 1131 nt
Filed under: Rattus norvegicus (Norway rat)
Lineage: Eukaryota; Metazoa; Chordata; Mammalia; Rodentia; Muridae
Description: uncharacterized LOC102553731
Source: RNAcentral